Molecule: ribosomal RNA, 368 nt
Filed under: uncultured Enterobacter sp.
Lineage: Bacteria; Pseudomonadati; Pseudomonadota; Gammaproteobacteria; Enterobacterales; Enterobacteriaceae
Description: SSU rRNA
Rfam family: Bacterial small subunit ribosomal RNA
Source: RNAcentral
ACGCGAAGAACCUUACCUACUCUUGACAUCCAGAGAACUUAGCAGAGAUGGUUUGGUGCCUUCGGGAACUCUGAGACAGGUGCUGCAUGGCUGUCGUCAGCUCGUGUUGUGAAAUGUUGGGUUAAGUCCCGCAACGAGCGCAACCCUUAUCCUUUGUUGCCAGCGGUCCGGCCGGGAACUCAAAGGAGACUGCCAGUGAUAAACUGGAGGAAGGUGGGGAUGACGUCAAGUCAUCAUGGCCCUUACGAGUAGGGCUACACACGUGCUACAAUGGCGCAUACAAAGAGAAGCGAACUCGCGAGAGCAAGCGGACCUCAUAAAGUGUGUCGUAGUCCGGAUUGGAGUCUGCAACUCGACUCCAUGAAGUC